UAUGUUGUCCAGACUGGUCUUGAAUUCCUGACCUGAGGUGAUCUGCUUGCCUUGGCCUCGUGAAGUGCUGGGAUUGCAGGUGUGACCCACCAUGCUCGGCCUGUCAACUGUACGUUAAUAAAUAAGACAUGAAACCUUAGUUUAGUACACAGUUGUUUACCUCCAUUCCCCCUUUUCUCCAUCAAGCCUACCUUGUAUUUGUUUAGGCAGCCACCUUUCAACAACCCAUGAAGUGUCUGGAGCUCCACCCUCUGCUCAAGAGGAACGGCACAUGACCCAGGUCUCUGCCAAUCAGCAUUUCACAUUCCUCAUGAUCGGUUCAAAGGUUGGCCUUGUGACUUGAUGUGACCAAUAGAAUGUGGCAGAAGUGAUGUUGAACAACUUUCAAGUCUAGACUUACAGUUUCUACUUAUGCUUUCUUGAAACACUGCCCUGAGACCACCAUGUAGGGAUGGAUGUUGCUAUAACCUCCUGGAGGAUAAGUGGGCAUGGAGAAGGAGAGCUAAUGCAUCCCAGCCAUCAAUCAGCACUGACUGCCAAUCAUUUGAGUGAGGCCAGCUUGGACCAUCCAGCUGUUCUUGCCAUCAUCUGACUGCAAUUACAUGAGUAAGCCCAGGUAAGACAAGCUGAAGAAGUGCCCAUCCAG
Molecule: non-coding RNA, 646 nt
Organism: Chlorocebus sabaeus (green monkey)
Lineage: Eukaryota; Metazoa; Chordata; Mammalia; Primates; Cercopithecidae
Source: RefSeq, a predicted model, not a curated record